GGCCGCCUGGCGAAAUGGCAUCGCGUCUGACUACGAUAUGCUGUAAUCAGGAGAUUGCAGGUUCGACCCCUGCGGUGGUCA
This is a transfer RNA of Termitomyces sp. J132, 81 nucleotides long. It matches the Rfam family "tRNA". From Rfam's summary of the family: Transfer RNA (tRNA) molecules are approximately 80 nucleotides in length. Their secondary structure includes four short double-helical elements and three loops (D, anti-codon, and T loops). Further hydrogen bonds mediate the characteristic L-shaped molecular structure. tRNAs have two regions of fundamental functional importance: the anti-codon, which is responsible for specific mRNA codon recognition, and the 3' end, to which the tRNAs corresponding amino acid is attached (by aminoacyl-tRNA synthetases). tRNAs cope with the degeneracy of the genetic code in two manners: having more than one tRNA (with a specific anti-codon) for a particular amino acid; and 'wobble' base-pairing, i.e. permitting non-standard base-pairing at the 3rd anti-codon position. The record is from Rfam. Lineage: Eukaryota; Fungi; Basidiomycota; Agaricomycetes; Agaricales; Lyophyllaceae.